CCUCAGCCCCGAUAGAAGUGAAAUCCUUUUGUGCAGGGGUUCUGCACAAAAGAUUAUAACGUAUAGCGGUAAGAGCU
RNAcentral lists this small RNA (77 nucleotides) under Flavobacterium collinsii. RNAcentral describes it as "Flavo-1". It matches the Rfam family "Flavo-1 RNA". The record is from RNAcentral. Lineage: Bacteria; Pseudomonadati; Bacteroidota; Flavobacteriia; Flavobacteriales; Flavobacteriaceae.